This is a long non-coding RNA of Schistocerca gregaria, 301 nucleotides long. RefSeq lists it as uncharacterized. NCBI's taxonomy places the organism in Eukaryota, Metazoa, Arthropoda, Insecta, Orthoptera, Acrididae. The transcript is spliced from 2 exons. The record is from RefSeq and is a predicted model, not a curated record.
CUCAGAUCAUGUAAGAAUUUAAAGGUCGAACAGACCUAAUCAUUGGGCUCCUGCACCCAAAAUUUUUCUUAAUCUAACAUCGAGGUCGCAAUCUGCUUUGUCGAUAUGAGCUCUCAAAAACAAUUACGCUGUUAUCCCUAAGGUAACUUAAUCUUAUGAUCAUAAAUUAUGGAUCAAAAUAACAAACAUAAAUAAAUGAUAUAAUAAUGAAGAGUUUAUCUAUUCUUCAUGUCACCCCAACAAAACAUCAUCAUUAAAUAUAGAAAGACAAACAAAAAACUAUAUAAAAGUAAAAUGUCAA